This 254-nucleotide ribosomal RNA is filed under the name uncultured bacterium. RNAcentral's name for it is "partial 16S ribosomal RNA". It matches the Rfam family "Bacterial small subunit ribosomal RNA", at positions 524 to 776 of the family's 1533-position model. The record is from RNAcentral.
UACGAAGGGGGCUAGCGUUGCUCGGAAUCACUGGGCGUAACGGGUGCGUAGGCGGGUCUUUUAAGUCAGGGGUGAAAUCCUGGAGCUCAACUCCAGAACUGCCUUUGAUACUGAGGAUCUUGAGUUCGGGAGAGGUGAGUGGAACUGCGAGUGUAGAGGUGAAAUUCGUAGAUAUUCGCAAGAACACCAGUGGCGAAGGCGGCUCACUGGCCCGAUACUGACGCUGAGGCACGAAAGCGUGGGGAGCAAACAGG